This 253-nucleotide ribosomal RNA is filed under the name uncultured bacterium. Its description in RNAcentral is "partial 16S ribosomal RNA". It matches the Rfam family "Bacterial small subunit ribosomal RNA", at positions 524 to 776 of the family's 1533-position model. The record is from RNAcentral.
UACAGAGGUCCCGAGCGUUGUUCGGAUUCACUGGGCGUAAAGGGUGCGUAGGCGGUGAGGUAAGUCGGAUGUGAAAUCUCCAAGCUCAACUUGGAAAUGGCAUUGGAAACUACCUUGCUGGAGGUUUGGAGGGGGGGCUGGAAUUCUCGGUGUAGCAGUGAAAUGCGUAGAUAUCGAGAGGAACACCAGUGGCGAAGGCGAGUCCCUGGACAAAACCUGACACUGAGGCACGAAAGCUAGGGGAGCAAACAGG